RNAcentral lists this ribosomal RNA (479 nucleotides) under uncultured bacterium. RNAcentral describes it as "bacterial SSU rRNA". It matches the Rfam family "Bacterial small subunit ribosomal RNA", at positions 30 to 507 of the family's 1533-position model. The record is from RNAcentral.
AUUGAACGCUGGCGGCAUGCCUUACACAUGCAAGUCGAACGGUAACGCGGGGCAACCUGGCGACGAGUGGCGAACGGGUGAGUAAUGCAUCGGAACGUGCCCAGUACUGGGGGAUAGCCCGGAGAAAUUCGGAUUAAUACCCCAUAAAGAUAUGAAGAGGCAUCUUUUUAUAUUUAAAGUUUCGACGGUACGGGAUGGGCAUGCGUAACAUUAGCUAGUUGGUAGGGUAAUGGCCUACCAAGGCAACGAUGUUUAGGGGUCCUGAGAGGGUUAUCCCCCACACUGGUACUGAGACACGGACCAGACUCCUACGGGAGGCAGCAGUAAGGAAUAUUGGUCAAUGGGCGCAAGCCUAAACCAGCCAUGCCGCGUGCAGGAAGACGGCCCUAUGGGUUGUAAACUGCUUUUGUCAGGGAAUAAACCUGUCUACGAGUAGGCAGCUGAAGGUACCUGAAGAAUAAGCAUCGGCUAACUCCGUG